CUGAAGUAGACUCAGGUUCCCACCAUCAACCUGAGAGUCAAACACAACCAUGUGUAGUGAGCAGCAAAGUAAAUUAUGAAGAUUGGCCCACUUGUCAGUCAAACAUCACUGUACCAAAGGGCCAUUCCACCAUUUCUGCAACCAAUGGCUUGUCACCUAGGGCUUGCCUUUCCACUGUUUCUGCAACCAAGGGCCUACCACAGAUGUCAGGUCAAACGCCACCAUAUGUAGUGAGCAGCAAAGUCAAUUAUGAAGAAUGGCCCAUGCGUCAGUCAAACAUCACUGUAUCAAAGGGCCAUUCCACCAUUUCUGCAUCCAAGGGCUUGUCACCUAGGGCUUGCUUUUCCACUGUGUUUGCAACCAAGGGCCUACCACAGAUGCCAGGUCAAACAUACACUGGCAGAAGAAGGCACACAGUCCUGAGUGUGAAAAUAAAAAAGCACUCUCACAGAGGAAUUCAUAUCACACCAUCAGAAAGGAUAAUUCGGUUGAAGGAAAUGCAGAGGGAGUCAUCUUCUGAGGUCUCAUCAGUUUCAGUGGAGAUGUUUUCUGAAAGCCAUGGACACAGAAGAGGGUGUUUUGGAUGGCUCCUCUCUAAGCUUAUGUGCACUGAAGACAUCCACUGGUUCGAGUAAUGUUUGAGUGUAACCAAACAUUCAAACCUAAGGUGGAGGAAUGUAAAUAAAUCAAAGCAAGCCUA
Molecule: long non-coding RNA, 700 nt
Organism: Oncorhynchus kisutch (coho salmon)
Lineage: Eukaryota; Metazoa; Chordata; Actinopteri; Salmoniformes; Salmonidae
Exons: 3
Source: RefSeq, a predicted model, not a curated record